RNAcentral lists this ribosomal RNA (492 nucleotides) under uncultured bacterium. RNAcentral's name for it is "partial 16S ribosomal RNA". It matches the Rfam family "Bacterial small subunit ribosomal RNA", at positions 29 to 507 of the family's 1533-position model. The record is from RNAcentral.
AGUGAACGCUGGCGGUAGGCCUAACACAUGCAAGUCGAACGGCAGCACAGUAAGAGCUUGCUCUUACGGGUGGCGAGUGGCGGACGGGUGAGGAAUACAUCGGAAUCUACUUUUUCGUGGGGGAUAACGUAUGGAAACUUACGCUAAUACCGCAUACGACCUACGGGUGAAAGCAGGGGAUCUUCGGACCUUGCGCGAUUGAAUGAGCCGAUGUCGGAUUAGCUAGUUGGCGGGGUAAAGGCCCACCAAGGCGACGAUCCGUAGCUGGUCUGAGAGGAUGAUCAGCCACACUGGAACUGAGACACGGUCCAGACUCCUACGGGAGGCAGCAGUGGGGAAUAUUGGACAAUGGGCGCAAGCCUGACCCAGCCAUACCGCGUGGGUGAAGAAGGCCUUCGGGUUGUAAAGCCCUUUUGUUGGGAAAGAAAAGCAGCAGGUUAAUACCCCGCUGUUCUGACGGUACCCAAAGAAUAAGCACCGGCUAACUUCGUG